UUUUAAGUAUAAGUAUGUGCCAUGCAAUAUUUGGGAUAUAUUUAUACUAAAA
Myotis lucifugus (little brown bat) is the source of this 52-nucleotide non-coding RNA. The record is from Rfam. Lineage: Eukaryota; Metazoa; Chordata; Mammalia; Chiroptera; Vespertilionidae.